AAGCUUGGUGCUACCUCUUUUCUUUUGUUUGUUAUUUUCUUUGAAUAAGAGGAUUGAGAGUUUUUAAAUAUUGUGAAGUGAAUUAUGGAAUGGAAAUGUGAUUGGUAUUAUUUGAGAAGAAGAAAGAUUGAAUGCUAAAAUCUAAUUGUAGUUCAGUAGAGAGAAUGAGUCUGUAUUUGUGUGAAACACCGUAUUGUGAAUGGCAAUUCUAUAUGAAGAAUUCCAAUGAUUGGAAUGAGGGUAAUUGUGUGCUGAAAGCUGUGAGGGCGCAAUAUUACAGUUGGAGAUUAUGAGGGUGAAUAUAUUGGUAAAAAUAGCAAUUAUUG
RNAcentral lists this long non-coding RNA (326 nucleotides) under Physcomitrium patens. RNAcentral describes it as "long non-coding RNA (PPAT_LNC009672)". Lineage: Eukaryota; Viridiplantae; Streptophyta; Bryopsida; Funariales; Funariaceae. The record is from RNAcentral.